This 497-nucleotide ribosomal RNA is filed under the name uncultured bacterium. RNAcentral describes it as "partial 16S ribosomal RNA". It matches the Rfam family "Bacterial small subunit ribosomal RNA", at positions 28 to 507 of the family's 1533-position model. The record is from RNAcentral.
GAUGAACGCUGGCGGCGUGCCUAAUACAUGCAAGUCGAGCGAACGGACGAGAAGCUUGCUUCACUGAUGUUAGCGGCGGACGGGUGAGUAACACGUGGAUAACCUACCUAUAAGACUGGGAUAACUUCGGGAAACCGUAGCUAAUACCGGAUAAUAUUUUGAACCGCAUGGUUCAAAAGUGAAAGACGGUCUUGCUGUCACUUAUAGAUGGAUCCGCGCUGCAUUAGCUAGUUGGUAAGGUAACGGCUUACCAAGGCAACGAUGCAUAGCCGACCUGAGAGGGUGAUCGGCCACACUGGAACUGAGACACGGUCCUGACUCCUACGGGAGGCAGCGGUAGGGAAUCUUCCGCGAUGGGCGAAAGCCUGACGGAGCAACGCCGCGUGAGUGAUGAAGGUCUUCGGAUCGUAAAACUCUGUUAUUAGGGAAGAACAUAUGUGUAAGUAACUGUGCACAUCUUGACGGUACCUAAUCAGAAAGCCACGGCUAACUACGUG